AGCUGGGUCGUACUAUGGUGUGCUGUAUUAUGGGGCUGUGUCUAUGGGGCUGAAGCUCUAUCUAUGGGCUGAGCCUCUACCUAAUAUGGGGCUUAUCUCUCUAUGGGUCCUGCCCCACACUUGUAGGGUCUGUCGACAUCCUGGUGAGGCAUGGUGAGCUGACUGCCAAGUGUAGUGUUAUGGGCUGGGGUCUAUCUAUCUAUAGGGCUGGGUUCUAUCUAUGGGGCUGAGCUGUAUCUAUGGGUCCUGCCCCACACUUGUAGGUCUGUCUGACAUCCCGGGUGAGGCCAUGGUGAAGCUGUAUUGCCCCAAGUGUUGUGUCUAUGGGGCUGGGGGCUCUAUCUAUCUAUGGGGCUGGGGGCUCUAUAUGGCUAUAACUAUCUAUGGGUCUUGCCACACUAUGUAGGUCUGGCUCUAGACAUCCGGUUGAGGCCAUGUGAGCUGUACUCAAGUGUUGUUUAUGGGGCUGGGGGCUCUAUCUAUUAUGGGGCU
This 492-nucleotide long non-coding RNA is filed under the name Coturnix japonica (Japanese quail). RNAcentral describes it as "lncRNA (ENSCJPG00005001726.1)". Lineage: Eukaryota; Metazoa; Chordata; Aves; Galliformes; Phasianidae. The record is from RNAcentral.